CGAAUCAUGACUUUUGAUCAUGAAUCGGCCGUACCUGUUUUCAUCAAGUUACUGUGCCAGGUGCAUGAAUGCGGCUUUUUUUUAACGACAAACUAGUGUGGGUAGGGCUUCCUGCUCAGCGUUUACUUUCGUUUCCUGAACUUUGUGGUUGCUGUUUGUCUUCGUGGGAAGCUCCGUGUUAAGGAAACCGAUCCCUGUGACGAGGCUGUUCUGUAUCGGGGUUUGGAGCUUCUUGUUGGCGUCUCUCUGUGAAGAAACUGUGAAGGUAGAAAGUGUGUGUGAGCUGAUGUGGAUGUGAAUUCAG
Molecule: long non-coding RNA, 304 nt
Organism: Oreochromis aureus
Lineage: Eukaryota; Metazoa; Chordata; Actinopteri; Cichliformes; Cichlidae
Exons: 3
Source: RefSeq, a predicted model, not a curated record